RNAcentral lists this long non-coding RNA (2745 nucleotides) under Amphibalanus amphitrite. RNAcentral's name for it is "uncharacterized LOC122390712, transcript variant X2". The record is from RNAcentral. Lineage: Eukaryota; Metazoa; Arthropoda; Thecostraca; Balanomorpha; Balanidae.
CCCGCCACCGAGAAGCCCUCACCUCAAUCAUGGUCUUGGUCGUCCUAAGUCAGCGAGGAGAGGCUGCACUUGGAGCCGUAUUCAAGAAAGAAGAACGCCAUGGCUGCCAGCUGUUGGUACGGUGCCAUUCGGACGGCCGGCGGUGGGCGCCGAAGGCCGCGCCGGCUGCUGAGCCGUGUCGCGCCGCUCAGAAGACGCCCCAUCAUCGCGCGGCGCCCCGGACCGGACCGCCCGGCGCCCCGGACCGGACCGGACCGGGAUCACCGGGUGGUGGCGCGUGCCGCGACCCACUUCGUCACUCACCGCCGGCUCAGCACAGCGUCUCCAUCGGUCAUCAUUGGCGCCGCAAUCAAUAACGAGCCGGGACGCCACGUUGAGAGCCCCCGCCUCGUGACGUCAGCCCUGCCGGACGCCGUCUGACCGCUGCUGACCUGCAGCUGACCGACGAGGCUGCUGUGGGGACGGACGACCAGUCUUGCACCGCGCCGAGGUGCGCUGCGUUCCCGAGCGGCGUUCCGAGGAGAGAGUGAAACGGACGGAGAAAAGGAGCCGAGGACCACGUGCUCUGCUGCCGCCAACUACCCGCGUCGGCCGAGGUUUGGAUUCGAGUCGGCGACGGUCCCCUCCACGCUGCCUCGCGUCGGCUCGUUUGUAGGGUAGGACGGCCCCUAAAAAACGCACCGACGGAGUGAUAACGACGAGGUAAAUGGUCGGGAUUAAGGAUAUGCAGGUUUGACGAAUCUCGAAGUCGCAUCUAUUAAAAAGGUGAGGGUGGGUGGGAAACUUCUCGCCCACUCUCUGCUCCACUCGCCGUCCGUCGCAGUCGACGACUGCCGUUCGCGCCUCUCGGCUCUCCUGCCAGCGGCGCGCCCGUUCCUACACUCCCCUUCGCACCACCCCUAGUCAGGGUCUGCCCCGCGUCUGUCGGCGGGGUGAUUUAUCUGUCUCCGACCCCCGUCUCCCUUUGCUCCGGUCACGUUCAGUGGCGCCCGGGCAGGGUCCUAACCUUCCAUAGCCGCGUCGCCGCUAUGAGUUGAUUAGGCCCCCGUUGCCCGCGCCACUAUCACCAAGCGUUCGCCUCAGUUGGCUGUCAGCGGCCGAAACCACUCGCGUCGGCUCGUUUGUAGGGUAGGACGGCCCCUAAAAAACGCCAAAUACACCCAAUGGAAUGAAAAAGUCUUAGGCUAAGCGUCCGCUGCCCACACCUUCUCGAUCUCUGCUGAGCAGUUAAUGGUUUGACCACGAACCCGGGCACAUGCCGCAUGCGGAAAGGUUCCCAGUGUGUUCCGCUGGCGAUGCCCGGUCUGUUAUUGCGGCAUGGCUCUUGGUGGUGAGUUUGGGUCGAACCAGUUAGUGUGAACCGGGGCGGCGAGGGACUCCCUCCACCCCAAGGUCGGCUCCCGUCCUGAGUCAGCUGUGACUGGACCCCAUACUCCCCGCACAGUGCCGCCAGUGACUCACUGUCGACCGGCGUGGGGGCGCCGCAACCCACUAAUGGAACGUGACCGUGUUCGGGGUGUUCGUUAGUCGUCUGCCUCUCGUGGCCGCCGGGGGACAGCGGGGGAGCCGGGUCGUGCGGCGUCGGCUGGUAUCAGGUUGCGGCGGGGCGGCCCGUCAGGCUGCUGUCGCCCGGUUUGAGGACCGUGGCGGCCCCACUGUGGGCCUCUGUGGCCCCGCGGACAGUACCGGCAGGCGGGCCCGCGGCUGCCCCGGCGUUGACUGUCUCAUCAGCCGGUCCGGUGUCAUGGCGGUGCCGGGGCUGUGCCAGCGGCCGGCGGCCGGCUCUGGCUCCGCCGAUGGCUGUCUUUUCUGACUGGCGGUCGGCGCGGGCGGCCUUGGGGGAGGGGGGGGGGGAGGGCGACUGUGGUUCCCGGCGGCCCUGCCGUGUCGUGCGCUGAUAUUCCGGUGUGUGUGAAGCCAUGCCUGGACACACUGCGGUGAGGGGGGGGGGGUCCGAUCCGAUGGUUUUGUCCCCGUGUCGGUCUUGGACCCCCGUGUUCGCGGCCUCGGGGUUGUGAUGUUUAGCCCGGCACGCUUCCCGGCGCCUAAACCGACGUCAUCGGUGCUGGCUAAAAUGGAAUGCCGCGAAUCUGGGAUCAGUGGCCUGGUUUCGCCUUUGAUAUCGUGCUGCAGAUUAUCUAGUCGUCGGCAGCGGUCCCGUAGACCUAUGUUGCGCGCAACUUAGCCGCGGCGUCGGCGGCGGACCCGGUUUACGUGCUUAUACGACCGCACAUACAUAAAUGAGGUUUGUAUGGCCAUGUGGCCGUGAAUGACUGGUAGAAAAGGUUGUGCAUAGAUUCCGGUGCUGUGAUGGCGCCGCACGCAAAGCACAGUGCCUCACCUCACGGAAAGUAGGAACGGUGCAUUGUUAGCGUACUUUAAAUGCACCUACCCCUACCUAAGAAUCACGUGCUGUUCAUGAGGCCUGUGAGCACGGGCGCCGAUGACUUUUCUGCCCCUCCGUUCUGGCCUGCGGGAUGACAACUUUGCAUUGCCAGCGCAUAUGGGGACUCACAUUUGGCAGCUGCUCGCACGGGUUACCGUGGGUGGGCAGGGUUCGCGAAAGUGUCGGCUGCCAGCUUGCCGCAGAUUGCAGUGUCGCGACGCUUACUCGGAGUCUCGAGAUUGGGGAGCCGGCAGGCAGCGGCGUAGUCGGUGUAGUUGUGUCCGGGCAUGAUCUUGCAUGCAUUUUGUCUGUGCUUGCUCGAUUCCUGCAUUCAGAAUACACUUUGAGAGCAGUUUGAA